RNAcentral lists this ribosomal RNA (483 nucleotides) under uncultured bacterium. Its description in RNAcentral is "partial 16S ribosomal RNA". It matches the Rfam family "Bacterial small subunit ribosomal RNA", at positions 30 to 507 of the family's 1533-position model. The record is from RNAcentral.
AUUGAACGCUGGCGGCAGGCCUAACACAUGCAAGUCGAGCGGAUGAAGGGAGCUUUCUCCUGUAUUCAGCUGCCGACGGGUGAGUAAUGCCUAGGAAUCUGCCCGUUAGUGGGGGAUACGUCCGCAAACGGGCGCUAAUACCGCAAACGUCCUGAGGGUGAAAGUGGGGGGUCUUCGGACCUCACGCUAUCUGAUGAGCCUAGGUCGGAUUAGCUAGUUUGUGGGGUAAAGGCCUACCAAGGGGACCAUCCGUAAGUGGACUGACAGGAUGGUCAGUCACACUAGAACUGGGACAAGGUCCAGACUCCUAAGGGAAGGCGCAGUGGGGAAUAUUGGACAAUGGGCGAAAACCUGAUCCAGCCAACCCGAGUGUGUGAAGAAAGUGUUGGGAUUGUAAAGCACUUUUAGUUGGGGGGAAACGAAGUAGGUUAAUACCAUGCUGUUUUGACGUUAACAACAGAAUAAGCACCGGCUAACUUCGUG